AGUUGUAAGAACAAAUUACUUUUGUUCGUUCGCUAUAUUUUAGUACUGAACGAAAAAUUCUUCAUUAAAGUAAAUUUGACAAGAAUUUUGUUUACAAGCAAGUUUGUUUUGUUUAUUUCUCCAAUGGAUUGGCCAACAGAAAAGCUGUUACGACUCAUUGAGCUUUUUAAAAAAAAUCGCUGCCUCUGGGAUCCUAAGGAUAGAAACUAUAAGAAAAGUAACGUUAAAGACAGGGCUUGGAAUAACAUCAGCGAUGAGUUGGGAAGGAGUGCCAUUGAAACUAAGAAAAAGAUGGAAUCGCUCCUUGCUUCAUAUCGUCGAGAGCGUAAAAAAUAUGAAUUAGCUCUAAGCGGUUCUCAUGCGGACAAGGGGUAUAUUUCAAAGUGGUUCGCGUUUAAUGCCAUGAGUUUUAUGGCAGACAGAUCAUUCGAUAGAAGGCCCAUACGCGAUAUACAUCAUGAUCCUUUGGACGAAAUAUUACAACAAGAUAGUUCUCACAGUCAAGACUCCUACGAGGUUAAUUCGAAGCGUAUAAGACCAAAUGAGAAGGAAAGUCCGCGAGGAAGUGUAACAUUUGAUGUAACGCACCCUGCAAUGACUAAAGAAAAAGAGAGUACAAACUCCUGCUGUAUUAACAGGAGCGCUGCCGAAUUCAAAAGGCGAGAUGCAAGUGAUAUAUUCGGAGAAUAUAUUUCUACUAAGCAUCGAAAAUAUAGUGACCAUGUCAAAAACAUAAUAGAACAUCAAAUUGCACAAAUUUUGUUUGACGCCGAUAUGGGUCUCUACAAUCCUGGCACAACAACGACAGUUACGAUAACCGCCCGAUCGCCAACUGUAGAAACGGACACAGGAGGCACUUCGGAAAUCAUUUAUGAAAAAUAGUGCGAAUAAGUAAUUGUAAUUAUAGAAUUUAAACUUAAAAUAAAUGUGUUUAAAGCAUAGGCAAUAUAUUCGAAUUUUGUAUCAGAAUUCUGUUUUACGGUUUGUUGUUGCACUAUCGUACAUACAGCGCAGACAAUUACAUUCCUACGUCAGUCGGGUCUAAGUAACCGGAAUGGACGCGGAUUUUAUGCAGAAAAGGACUGUUAACUCGGCACUUCGAAAUUACCUCAGCAAAACAAAAGCAUUUUUUCAUCAAAACUGUCUGAAAUGACAGCUAAAAAAGCGACAACUUUGCUCUUACUUAUCCCCACAGAAUUUACAGCGUGAAUGACGUCAUGAGCAAGAAGAGGAAUUGCAACAUAAACAAGAGCCGCAGACUUACAUAUUUGGAAAAUCAGCGUAUAAAGUUCAAUAAUUUGAAAAUGAAAUGUUCAGUGGUAGGCUGUAGCAGUGAUUAUAUGAAUCCAUUGAAAAAAACCUUCUAUAGCUUUCCAACCGACGCAGCUGUUGCUCAUAAAUGGGUUUUAUUUUGCCAGCAACCGAAAGAAUUUAACUAUCGGAGUAAAUUUAUUUGCAGAGACCACUUUAAAGACGAUGACUUCCUAAAUCUUGCACAAUUUAAAAUGGGUUUUGCACUGCGACUGAGAAUAAAGCGCGAUGCGGUGCCCACCAUCCGACGAAUAUCCACUGGACCAACAAUACGGGAGCUACGUAUUCAACGGAGGGAACAAAAACAAAUUGUCAAUGAUCUAUUACGAAAGUAUAACCAGGAACAGAAAGUGAAAAUAAAGUUAGCUGAUCGUCAGUUUGACGAAGUAUGCAACACUCAAUCUGCCAAGGGGUCAGCGCCAGUUACAAACAAUACAAAUGGAAAAGAACACACCGGUAAGCAAAUAGAGUUCAUUGCUAAUGGAUUUGACGAAAUAAGUACUCAAGCCACCAAAGGCUUAGGGCUGGUUACAGACAAUACAAAUGACAGAGAAGACUCCGUAGAGCAAAUAGAUUUUAUUGCAAAUGUAUUUGACGAAAUAUGCAGCACACCAGCCACCAAAGGUUUAAGGCCAGUUAAAGCCGGUAUUAAAAAUAAGUUGUCAGACUUUGCCAUAUGUAAUGACAAAGAAGACACAAUAUCUGAAGACUAUAUCCACAAUAAAAUUCAGUUUGAGGAAGUGAAGGUGGGGAACAAAAAGGACUAUCCUGUUAAUGUGUUUGAGGAAGUUGAUGAGCUACGGGAACAAAUCAAACUUUUGCGAAAGGAUAAUAUUUGUCAGCGCCGAAUCAAUAAGGGACUGUGCAAGAAGCUUGAAAAAUGGAAGAGAUUAAAUAUACAGAAGGAUAUUCGUUGUGCAAACAGGAUUAGUAGAGUGAAUGUGCUAUUAAAAAAUAAAACUCAGGAAUGUAAAAAUCUAGAGGAAAAGCUAAACUCUAUUUUCACCAGUGGGCAAAUUAACAAAAUGAAAUCCCUAAAACUUAAUUAUCAAUGGGAUGAGGAGGAUAUUGCCAAAUCCUUAAUCCUAUAUAGAUCAAGUGGCAAAACAUAUAAGUUGCUUUACGAUAAUGGUUUCCCUCUGCCAUCAGUGCGUACUAUACAGAGAUGGGUUUGGAGUCAUAAAAUCGACCCAAACAAAGAUGGAAAUUACGCGAAAAACAUAACUGCAACAGAAAAAGUAAUUGAUAUACUGGGAAGAGAGAAUACAAUUGAUCCAUUAAAUAUAAUUGACCCGGAAAAUAUAAACGAAGCAGAAAAAUUAAUUGAAACAGAACACGUAAUUGAAGCAGAAAAAUCAAUUGAAACAGAACACGUAAUUGAAACAGAAAAUAUAAUAGAAACAGAAAAUUUAAUUGAAACAGAAAAUUUAAUUGAAAGAGAAAACCUAAUUGAAACAGGAAAAUUAAUUGAAACAGAAAGCUUUAUUGAAACAGGAAAGUUAAUUGAAACAGAAAGCUUUAUUGAAACAGAAAACAUAAAUGAUCCAGAAAAUGUAAUUUUGGAAACUCAUAUGAACGAUAUAGAUCAAACAUUCGUUGACUAUGCAAUUACGAUAGAAAUAGUUUAAACAUAUUUAUUUUCAACCAGAAUUCUUUU
Bactrocera dorsalis (oriental fruit fly) is the source of this 2968-nucleotide RNA transcript. RefSeq lists it as uncharacterized. The record is from RefSeq and is a predicted model, not a curated record. The transcript is spliced from 5 exons. NCBI's taxonomy places the organism in Eukaryota, Metazoa, Arthropoda, Insecta, Diptera, Tephritidae.